Molecule: ribosomal RNA, 301 nt
Filed under: uncultured bacterium
Lineage: Bacteria
Description: partial 16S ribosomal RNA
Rfam family: Bacterial small subunit ribosomal RNA
Source: RNAcentral
CAGUAGCCACGGGAAUACGUAGGUGGCAAGCGUUGUCCGGAAUUAUUGGGCGUAAAGCGCGCGCAGGUGGUUUAAUAAGUCUGAUGUGAAAGCCCACGGCUCAACCGUGGAGGGUCAUUGGAAACUGUUAAACUUGAGUGCAGGAGAGAAAAGUGGAAUUCCUAGUGUAGCGGUGAAAUGCGUAGAAAUUAGGAGGAACACAGUGGCGAAGGCGGCUUUUUGGCCUGUAACUGACACUGAGGCGCGAAAGCGUGGGGAGCAAACAGGAUUAGAUACCCGAGUAGUCCCUGUCUCUUAUACC